RNAcentral lists this ribosomal RNA (142 nucleotides) under uncultured Alphaproteobacteria bacterium. Its description in RNAcentral is "partial 16S ribosomal RNA". It matches the Rfam family "Bacterial small subunit ribosomal RNA", at positions 537 to 678 of the family's 1533-position model. Lineage: Bacteria; Pseudomonadati; Pseudomonadota; Alphaproteobacteria. The record is from RNAcentral.
AGCGUUGUUCGGAAUUACUGGGCGUAAAGCGCACGUAGGCGGAUCGAUCAGUCAGGGGUGAAAUCCCAGAGCUCAACUCUGGAACUGCCUUUGAUACUGUCGAUCUAGAGUAUGGGAGAGGUGAGUGGAACUGCGAGUGUAG